CCAACAGAGAGGACUACCUAGUGGCGGACGGGUGAGUAACGCGUGAGGAACCUGCCUUGGAGUGGGGAAUAACAGCCCGAAAGGGUUGCUAAUACCGCAUAAAGCAAUAUGAUCGCAUGAUUGAAUUGCCAAAGAUUUAUCGCUCUGAGAUGGCCUCGCGUCUGAUUAGCUAGUUGGCGGGGUAACGGCCCACCAAGUCGACGAUCAGUAGCCGGACUGAGAGGUUGAACGGCCACAUUGGGACUGAGAUACGGCCCAGACUCC
This 264-nucleotide ribosomal RNA is filed under the name uncultured Oscillospiraceae bacterium. Its description in RNAcentral is "partial 16S ribosomal RNA". It matches the Rfam family "Bacterial small subunit ribosomal RNA", at positions 75 to 339 of the family's 1533-position model. Lineage: Bacteria; Bacillati; Bacillota; Clostridia; Eubacteriales; Oscillospiraceae. The record is from RNAcentral.